RNAcentral lists this ribosomal RNA (430 nucleotides) under uncultured Bdellovibrio sp. Its description in RNAcentral is "bacterial SSU rRNA". It matches the Rfam family "Bacterial small subunit ribosomal RNA", at positions 355 to 776 of the family's 1533-position model. Lineage: Bacteria; Pseudomonadati; Bdellovibrionota; Bdellovibrionia; Bdellovibrionales; Pseudobdellovibrionaceae. The record is from RNAcentral.
UGGGGAAUAUUGCGCAAUGGACGAAAGUCUGACGCAGCAACGCCGCAUGAGUGAGGAAGGCCUUAGGGUUGUAAAGCUCUGUCAGAUGGGAAGAACGGUCUCGUGUCCAAUAGGCACGAGAAUUGACGGUACCAUCAAAGGAAGCACCGGCUAACUUCGUGCCAGCAGCCGCGGUAAUACGAAGGGUGCAAGCGUUACUCGGAUUUACUGGGCGUAAAGUGCACGCAGGCGGAUUGGUAAGUCAGAUGUGAAAUCUUCGGGCUCAACCCGGAAACUGCGUCUGAAACUGCUGAUCUAGAGUUUCGAAGAGGGAAGUGGAAUUUCGCAUGUAGGGGUAAAAUCCGUAGAGAUGCGAAGGAACACCAGAGGCGAAGGCGACUUCCUAGACGAAAACUGACGCUGAGGUGCGAAAGCGUGGGGAGCAAACAGG